UAUCUUUCAUUCUACACAAUAUUGUUCUAUACACUGAAUUGACUUACUGCGGACAACUUGCCUCUUUGCUUUUAACUUUUGUUAUCGCAGUCACAAUAACAUGUUAUUUUCCAUGUUUCUUUAUUUAUCACACAUGAAGCAUAUUGUCCUUGACUCAUCGAUUUUCUUAGUAAAUAUUGCGUCCCUAUUUGUCUCUUGAGUCACCAUAAAGUUUUCCUAGGCAUCUCUUCCCAUCUUUAAUAUCCCCAUGCCUGUUCCAUUUCUUGUUCUUGAAGGUGCACAUGGACCCACAAACUUACAAUUUUCCUAGCCAUCUAGCAUGCAUUUCUCUGCCCGUCCUUAUUAUACUCGUGUAUAUUUCCUUUUGUUGAAG
This 373-nucleotide long non-coding RNA is filed under the name Hordeum vulgare. Its description in RNAcentral is "long non-coding RNA (HVUL_LNC009956)". The record is from RNAcentral. Lineage: Eukaryota; Viridiplantae; Streptophyta; Magnoliopsida; Poales; Poaceae.